GUGAACGCUGGCGGUAGGCCUAACACAUGCAAGUCGAACGGCAGCACCGUAAGAGCUUGCUCUUACGGGUGGCGAGUGGCGGACGGGUGAGGAAUACAUCGGAAUCUACUUUUUCGUGGGGGAUAACGUAGGGAAACUUACGCUAAUACCGCAUACGACCUGCGGGUGAAAGCAGGGGAUCUUCGGACCUUGCGCGAUUGAAUGAGCCGAUGUCGGAUUAGCUAGUUGGCGGGGUAAAGGCCCACCAAGGCGACGAUCCGUAGCUGGUCUGAGAGGAUGAUCAGCCACACUGGAACUGAGACACGGUCCAGACUCCUACGGGAGGCAGCAGUGGGGAAUAUUGGACAAUGGGCGCAAGCCUGAUCCAGCCAUACCGCGUGGGUGAAGAAGGCCUUCGGGUUGUAAAGCCCUUUUGUUGGGAAAGAAAAGCAGCAGGUUAAUACCCCGCUGUUCUGACGGUACCCAAAGAAUAAGCACCGGCUAACUUCGUG
Molecule: ribosomal RNA, 491 nt
Filed under: uncultured bacterium
Lineage: Bacteria
Description: partial 16S ribosomal RNA
Rfam family: Bacterial small subunit ribosomal RNA
Source: RNAcentral